This 472-nucleotide ribosomal RNA is filed under the name uncultured bacterium. Its description in RNAcentral is "bacterial SSU rRNA". It matches the Rfam family "Bacterial small subunit ribosomal RNA", at positions 335 to 798 of the family's 1533-position model. The record is from RNAcentral.
ACUCCUACGGGAGGCAGCAGUGGGGAAUAUUGCACAAUGGGCGCAAGCCUGAUGCAGCCAUGCCGCGUGUAUGAAGAAGGCCUUCGGGUUGUAAAGUACUUUCAGCAGUGAGGAAGGUGGGUAUGUUAAUAGCAUAUUCAUUUGACGUUAGCUGCAGAAGAAGCACCGGCUAACUCCGUGCCAGCAGCCGCGGUAAUACGGAGGGUGCGAGCGUUAAUCGGAAUUACUGGGCGUAAAGCGCAUGCAGGUGGUUUGUUAAGUCAGAUGUGAAAGCCCGGGGCUCAACCUCGGAAUUGCAUUUGAAACUGGCAAACUAGAGUACUGUAGAGGGGGGUAGAAUUUCAGGUGUAGCGGUGAAAUGCGUAGAGAUCUGAAGGAAUACCGGUGGCGAAGGCGGCCCCCUGGACAGAUACUGACACUCAGAUAGCGAAAGCGUGGGGAGCAAACAGGAUUAGAUACCCUGGUAGGCUCU